UAGUGCAUCUUCGGCAAUGUUGUGAACCCUGACCGAGCAACGCCUCUUGAGUGACGAAUUUUUUCGGAUCUUCACUCUCUUUUGUUAAGUACGAACUAUUUUUAUACUGUAAAGUUCAUACUUUUACUUUACUUAACCAGAAAGGUACUUCUCACUACUUUCCAGCAGCCUCUUUAAUACGUAGGUCCCGAGCGUUGUCCGGAUUUAUUGGUCGUAAAGCGAGCGCAGGCGGUUAGAUAAGUCUGAAGUUAAAGGCAGUGGCUCAACCAUUGAAGGCUUUGGAAACUGGUUGACUUGAGUGCAGAAGAGGAGAGUGGAAUUCCAUGUGUAGCGGUGAAAUGCGUAGAUAUAUGGAGGAACACCAGUGGCGAAGGCGACUCUCUGGUCUGUAACUGACGCUGAGGCUCGAAAGCGUGGGUAGCAAACAGG
This 429-nucleotide ribosomal RNA is filed under the name Bacteroidota bacterium. RNAcentral describes it as "Bacteroidetes bacterium partial 16S ribosomal RNA". It matches the Rfam family "Bacterial small subunit ribosomal RNA", at positions 355 to 776 of the family's 1533-position model. The record is from RNAcentral. Lineage: Bacteria; Pseudomonadati; Bacteroidota.